Aegilops tauschii subsp. strangulata is the source of this 1330-nucleotide non-coding RNA. The record is from RefSeq and is a predicted model, not a curated record. NCBI's taxonomy places the organism in Eukaryota, Viridiplantae, Streptophyta, Magnoliopsida, Poales, Poaceae.
CCGCAACACUGCGAAGGCACCCACGUCCCACGCUCCACUCUCCAAUCGACCGCCUCGCCCAAGAAAAAUUGCUCCACCCACACGCUCCUCACGUCGCUCCGGGCAAGGCGUCGCCUCGCCGGCCGAUAGGGUUCCUGCGCAACCGCCUCGCCAAAUCCAGGUCGCCUGAUGCCAGACGUCGGCCUCGUCGCAGAACUCUGGCCCCUCGUCGCCGCAGAGCUCCUUCCCCGCCUCUGACUCGCCCGACACCUGGCGCCGCCGUGACCCGUACCCGCCCCCGCGCCAGCUCGCCCCGCUACUCAGGCUCCGCCUUGCCCGAGCUCCCCCCGCCCUCGCCGCCAGCUGCGUUGCCCGAGGCCGCCCAGUCCCAGCCAGCUCGUUGGUCGCUGAUCAAGUUAGGGCUAUAUAUACGUCCAAAUUCAGAUCACAAUGGUGCCCAACAAGGAGGGAAUCAGCUGGACAAGGGAAGAAGCCUGGAAGGUAAUUUUGAUUAAUUCUAGAAUGGCAGGACCAUGAUGGAUGUCAGCGAGCUGUGUCUUGAUGAAUGCCAUUUUUCACAUAUACAUACUACUUGCUUUGAUACAUUUGCCUCUUCCUCGGAUUAGUAUGUCUCAAUUUUUGGUUCUUCAUAUACAUGCCACUUGACUAAUUAUUCAAUUUUCUCUAAAAUUGUCUGUGCCCCAAAUACGUCUCUGUAGAGCUCGGAAAUCUAUCAUGCAUAGCAAGAGUAUGAUUUUUUUUAAAUUAAUAUGUUUUAAAAAACUGAGUUAGGAAUAUUUGGAUAACAUACAAGAUAUGUACCUUGCCUUUUCCCGAAAAGAAUAGAUGCCCAUUGUGAGUUGGGCACGUCUGUAUAUUCUUUUCAUAGAGUUAGGAAUAUGAUGGAAGUGCAGUGCUGGUCAUAGGCUGAUGGCCGCUCGCUGAUUCAAUUCAUGCUUGGUUUUCCUGUUUAUGAGAAUGAAGGCCUCUUGGCCCCUCCACCAUGUCGGAACUUUUGUACUUUAUACGACUUUUUAUCCUUAUUUUCUGUUGGACAUUUCAGUUAAGGAAAAUGGUUUAUAAUGGACAACUGCUUCUGAUUUUCAGUUUACAUAGCCAGGGAAGAUUUGAUGCGAGGCAUGAAACACUUUGUUGUUAUUUCAUAGGACGAGUAGGAAAUGACAACAGCUAUCAUUUCGUUUGCGGGGAUGAUUUGAUGCUACUGGAUGUCACUUGAUUGAGUAGGAAAUGAUAGCUGUUGUCAUUUAACAACUUGUAUAUCUACUAGUUGAGUGCCCGUGCGUUGCCACGGACCAUCAAAUUUGCUUAUUGCUCACAAUCCUGCCGCCUA